UACGUAGGGUGCGAGCGUUAAUCGGAAUUACUGGGCGUAAAGCGUGCGCAGGCGGUGAUGUAAGACCGAUGUGAAAUCCCCGGGCUUAACCUGGGAACUGCAUUGGUGACUGCAUUGCUGGAGUAUGGCAGAGGGGGGUGGAAUUCCACGUGUAGCAGGUGAAAUGCGUAGAGAUGUGGAGGAACACCGAUGGCGAAGGCAGCCCCCUGGGCCAAUACUGACGCUCAUGCACGAAAGCGUGGGGAGCAAACAGGAUAGAUACCUGUA
Molecule: ribosomal RNA, 267 nt
Filed under: uncultured bacterium
Lineage: Bacteria
Description: partial 16S ribosomal RNA
Rfam family: Bacterial small subunit ribosomal RNA
Source: RNAcentral